GAUGAACGCUGGCGGCGUGCCUAAUACAUGCAAGUAGAACGCUGAAGGAGGAGCUUGCUCUUCUGGAUGAGUUGCGAACGGGUGAGUAACGCGUAGGUAACCUGCCUGGUAGCGGGGGAUAACUAUUGGAAACGAUAGCUAAUACCGCAUGACAACAGUUAUUGCAUGAUAACUGUUUAAAAGGGGCAACUGCUCCACUACCAGAUGGACCUGCGUUGUAUUAGCUAGUUGGUGAGGUAACGGCUCACCAAGGCGACGAUACAUAGCCGACCUGAGAGGGUGAUCGGCCACACUGGGACUGAGACACGGCCCAGACUCCUACGGGAGGCAGCAGUAGGGAAUCUUCGGCAAUGGACGGAAGUCUGACCGAGCAACGCCGCGUGAGUGAAGAAGGGUUUCGGAUCGUAAAGCUCUGUUGUAAGAGAAGAACGAGUGUGAGAGUGGAAAGUUCACACUGUGACGGUAUCCUACCAGAAAGGGACGGCUAACUACGUG
This 495-nucleotide ribosomal RNA is filed under the name uncultured bacterium. RNAcentral describes it as "partial 16S ribosomal RNA". It matches the Rfam family "Bacterial small subunit ribosomal RNA", at positions 28 to 507 of the family's 1533-position model. The record is from RNAcentral.